This 360-nucleotide ribosomal RNA is filed under the name Triticum aestivum (bread wheat). RNAcentral describes it as "partial small subunit ribosomal RNA". The record is from RNAcentral. Lineage: Eukaryota; Viridiplantae; Streptophyta; Magnoliopsida; Poales; Poaceae.
AUGAGCCCGACCACGACAACAAGCUUAAGCUCGUGGAUUUGCUCGUGGAUUUGCGGCUUCUUCUCCUUUGUUUCUCUGAUGGAAGACCCGCACUUGCGACACCGCGGCAGCGGCGGAAGCUGUCCAGAGGGUCGUGCCUGCUCACUUGGCAGCAGCGGCAGCUACAAAUCUUCUCUGGCCAAGCUAAUGCAAUUCAUUUUUGCCGGGAACCUUCUUGGCUUGCCUGCCAUUUCUGUUCCUCAAGGCCUUCCUAUCGGCUUGCAACUGAUAGGCCGUCCGUGGGGCGAGGCUAGCUUAUUGAGGGUGGCUUCGGCAGUAGAGGAACACGAGCUCUGGCGGCAACACAAAGAAUUCAGUUAA